RNAcentral lists this ribosomal RNA (227 nucleotides) under uncultured bacterium. RNAcentral describes it as "partial 16S ribosomal RNA". It matches the Rfam family "Bacterial small subunit ribosomal RNA", at positions 107 to 334 of the family's 1533-position model. The record is from RNAcentral.
UGAGUAACACGUAUCCAACCUGCCGUCUACUCUUGGACAGCCUUCUGAAAGGAAGAUUAAUACAAGAUGGCAUCAUGAGUCCGCAUGUUCACAUGAUUAAAGGUAUUCCGGUAGACGAUGGGGAUGCGUUCCAUUAGAUAGUAGGCGGGGUAACGGCCCACCUAGUCUUCGAUGGAUAGGGGCUCUGAGAGGAAGGUCCCCCACAUUGGAACUGAGACACGGUCCAA